GUUUUAUUAAUGUUCCUUCAUUGCAAAGUGGUGCCAGUUAAAAAACGAUUCAGAGAGAGCCACAUUAAUAAACAGCUUGUCCUCCUGAAGGGCCAGAGAUGCUGUGGUAAAUAGCAUGCGUGCGCGCGCACGCACGCACGCACGCACGCACGCACGCACAGUGUUAUGAGGAGCUGGAGGUUGUUACAAACUGCCCUUAGACCUGGUCAGAGGAGAGAAGCCUUCUGAUUGAGGUUGGAGCAAAAGCACCAGAGGUUUAUUCUGGGCCAUGUGAUCCCGUACCCCAAAUAAUGUACAAAUUGUGCCCAGCAGAGCAGGGGUCAGCAUGGUAUCCUAGGUCCCACUUUUCCUAAUUGUAAAAUACGAUUUUUGUUUUCAAUGGCCUCGGAGGAUCUCGGGAAUUCUCUAGGAAAUCACAGGCACUUAUCACGGGCACUUAUUGUUUGCUCUGGAGUGUUUUUCAAUUUUGCUUUAGGAAAUAAUUACUAGACCUAAUAUUGGCCAGCAAUGGAAAGAUAUCAAACCAGAGUUAGAACCCGACAAGCCAGGUGUUGUGCUUGGGUGUCACUGUAAAAGAGUAACUAGUCACAGGACAGGGUUCCAUGGGAAGUUUACAAGACAGCUAUAUGACAGCAUCAUGGGAUCGGCAGGUGUUGAGGAUGUUUUUUGACCAGUCAUUUCCAAAGGACCUUCACAUUUGCAAAGUGCUGCUAAAUGAAUCAGUUCCCACAUUAGUCCUCAGUUAUUUUUACAAUAACCAGUCAUUUUCACUCAAGUGCCUGCUUAGUUGUAUUCAACUGUUUUGUUUUCUGCCUCCACAACUGGAGUUUUGGACUCUAGGGAGAAAAUAGAAUUCUAUUUUUUUAAAAGAUGGUUUGAGCUGUUGGGCCCAUAGGGCCUGCCAGGUUUGGGGAGGUCAUUCCCUUUUCUCUGGGAGGCCCAGCAUAUUGUCAUCAGACAGCUCAGGGAAGCAGGUCAUAGACAAAAGAUAGUCACCUCCUCUAUGACAACUGGGAGAAGGGUUCUGUUCUGCUGAGCACAUUUGGAAAUCGGAUGUCCUCUAUCAAAGUCUGCACUCCACUAUGGCUGAUCCCUAACUCUACACUGGGGUUACCAUCAGGACAUGUACAUGGAGCCAGGCCUGCUUCCAAAGCCUCUGCCCCUCCAUGCUAGUGCAGUCAGCUCGGCAUCAGCCUGAAAACUGUGGGGUUGGUUUCCAAAAGGUGGAGGAUAAGGAAAUGAAUGCAUUUUCUCUCUGCAGUGGCUCUGGGUCCGGCUCCCGUCUGCCUUUCCCCACAGCUUUGAUGCCCAUGUGAACUUAAAGGGUUCAUAGAAAGGACAAAAUUGCUGGUGUUGGGUCUAGUCCUAAUUUUCCAGGGAAAGCGAAUCCGCCCAUCUCUGCACAAUUGCAGAACCCAGUAGGCCGCUCUGCCCCCUCAUGCCAUCUCCUGUCUAUUACAUACCCCCAGAGCGUUGGCUGGCCUGGCCUGGUGGUGACCACUGUCCGCUGCUGCCUCCUUUCCACCUUCCCAGGGCCUGGAUGGCCUUUGAGUAAACAGAUAGCCCGGUGAGGUGUGUGAUCAAUUAGCUUUGCUGAAAAUACAAUCAUUUUGUUAUUCCAAGCUGAUGAGAAGGCCUCUUCGGCCUGCUCUCCCAGCCUCCACAUGCCAAUCAGCCCGUGUCACCGAUAUAAUUUUCCACAUAAACACAACCUUUGUGCAACAUCUACUCUUGUAAAUAGAUGUAAUUCCCUAACCAAAUAGCGCACUUGGAGGGGAAAUGGAUAUUAUGCAUGCAAAAAGAAAAGCUGGUGAUUUUUACACUUUCCAGGCAACAAAAGAUUACCCCUAAUUGCAAAUGGGGGGGGCGCUCUGGGUAGGGAAGGGGGGGCAGCGCUGGGAGGCUGGGGAGGCUUGCUUCCAGGCAGAUUUUUUCCUUCUUUCUGUGUGUGUGUGUGUGUGUGUGUGUGUGUGUGUGUGUGAAGACCACCAGGAACUGCCUAAUCCCUGAUUUGUCCUGUGUAGGCAGUGGGGAAAAUAUGGUUGUUGUUGUUGAUAUCUGAAAGGAAACGGAGAUACUCUCUGAACCCUAAACCAUACACAUCCUGUUGAAGCAUUUUCCCCUUCGUCCCUGAUCGGAACAGCUUCGGUGGGCUGUGGAGCACGACUCACUCUGUAAUGCAUUGGUGUGUCUCUUUCAGUGUUCUGCUUAUUUCCGCAUAUUCCUAAAUUAGAUCUUAAAAGCAGCGGAAGUUGCCGGGCAGCUAGGGACUGAGAGCACCGCAGAACCCACUGUGUAAUCCCAGCCAGGUCUCUGGAGCUCUGAGUGCCACGGAAAAGAAGGUUGAGAUACCCCUGCCUGAGCCCCUUGUCUCCCUACCGGUGCCCCCUGGUGCACAGGAGUGGAAAAGCCAUGAGUCUCAGAGUGUCCUGGUUCCUGGCUGGCUGAAGAAGGAAGGCUUCAAAGCGUGGCUGAGUGGCCGGUCCCCUCCAGGCCAGUCAGCCAGUCUCUGGGCUCUACCUCUGUACAUCUGAAAGGUCAUCAGGUCACAGAUACAUUAAUGCAAAGAUGCAUUAUCAGCAGGUGAAUGGUGACAUCUUGGCCCGAAGAAAUCCUUGAUGCUUUAUGCAGCCUGAGUUCAAAACAGCAACGAAGAGCAAGCCAGGCAACGCAGAUUUUCUCUUGUGUCGGGGGCAGCCUGCAUGCUUUUCCUUGUGGCUAAUCUCCUGGGGCAAGUAUACCAGGUUCACGUGGAUAAAGGAGGGACUAGAGCUUCUGAAAGCAUAUUCCGCCUAUGGGACCACUCACUGCUCUUUGUAUUCAAAACACCAUCUUCCCGGAAAAACAAAGCUGGACCCUACCGGUUUGGGAGUCUGAUGCAGUGGACCCCCCAAGAACACUAAGCAAAGCUGUCAUUUACUUGUAUGGUCUUGAAUAUAAAUAAUUAUUUUGCUGUCUCACCUCGAAAUCAGCUUGGAAGAUAAGUUGUAGAAGAAAAGAGACUACUGGGCACAGACACCUGGACUCUGACCCUGGUUCAGUCACCUAUUGGCCAUUUGACUCUAACAUCAUCUCACUAAACAGAGCUUUGUUCAUCAGUAAAAUAUUGAGACAAUAUUUUUUCUUGGACUGUUUCAUUAGAAUAUUAAACACACCACAUAUCACAUGCAUGGCUUAUAGUAGGAAUUAAGUAUUGAUUUGUCUGUGAUAAC
Molecule: long non-coding RNA, 3212 nt
Filed under: Cricetulus griseus (Chinese hamster)
Lineage: Eukaryota; Metazoa; Chordata; Mammalia; Rodentia; Cricetidae
Description: lncRNA (ENSCGRG00015030668.1)
Source: RNAcentral